GACGAACGCUGGCGGCGUGCUUAACACAUGCAAGUCGAGCGGUAAGGCCCUUUCGGGGGUACACGAGCGGCGAACGGGUGAGUAACACGUGGGUGACCUGCCCUCAGCUCUGGGAUAAGCCUGGGAAACCGGGUCUAAUACCGGAUAUGACUCCAUGACGCAUGUUGUGGGGUGGAAAGCCUUGUGCGGCUGAGGAUGGGCCCGCGGCCCAUCAGCUUGUUGGUGGGGUGAUGGCCUACCAAGGCGACGACGGGUAGCCGGCCUGAGAGGGCGACCGGCCACACUGGGACUGAGACACGGCCCAGACUCCCACGGGAGGCAGCAGUGGGGAAUCUUGCGCAAUGGGCGAAAGCCUGACGCAGCGACGCCGCGUGAGGGAUGACGGCCU
RNAcentral lists this ribosomal RNA (388 nucleotides) under uncultured bacterium. RNAcentral's name for it is "bacterial SSU rRNA". It matches the Rfam family "Bacterial small subunit ribosomal RNA", at positions 28 to 417 of the family's 1533-position model. The record is from RNAcentral.